AUGGCUGCAGGGCCGUUGGAGCUCUGGAACCACCGGUCGAUGCAGAUCCUGGUCCUCCUCAGCCUUGGGCUCCAACUCGUCCUCUUCGUCUUCGCCGGGAUCCGCCGGCGUCAAAACCUCCCGGUGCGGAGGCUCCUCCUGUGGCUAGCGUACCUCAUGGCCGACUCCACGGCCGUGUACGCCGUCGGCCACCUGUCGUUCGGCAGCACGGUGCGCGAGCACCGGCUGGUGGCGUUCUGGGCGCCGUUCCUGCUGCUGCACCUCGGCGGCCCGGACAACAUCACUGCCUACGCGCUCCAGGAUAACCAGCUCUGGCUCCGCCACCUCCAGAUUCUCGUCGUGCAGGUUCUCGGAGCGGGCUACGUCCUCUACAAACACAUCGCUGUCGCCGGCGGCGAGGACGGGAAGUUCCUCCGGGGCGCCUCCUACAUGAUGUUCGCCGUCGGCGUCGUCAAGUACGCGGAGAGGACAUGGGCGCUCAGGUGCAGCACCCUGGAGAGCAUAGGCGCCUCCCUCAAGACGCGGCUGCCGGCCAUCCACAAGCAUUACCACCCUCAGGACAACGCCACGGAGGAGGAGUUCAACCUGCGCCGUGCUCACUCGCUGUUCCACAUCUGCAAGCGAGCCAUCGUCGACUCCUCGGUGGUCGAGGAGGACUUCGUGGACAGCCUAGAAGAGGAGGACGCCAACAAACUGAUACAUGGCGUGGAGCUGUGGACGCUGAUGGAGCUCGAGCUCUCCCUCAUGUACGACGUCUUGUACACCAAGGCGGCCGUGGUGCACACCUCCAUGGGCUACCUGAUCCGCGUCAUCUCGCCGCUCACCGCCGCCGUCUCGCUGGUGCUGUUCCAGCUCACCCCCAAGGACGGCCACGACAGAGCUGACGUGGCCAUCACCUACGUCCUGCUGGGUGGCGCCGUGUUCAUGGAGACGACAUCGCUGCUGAACGCGCUGGCAUCGUCGUGGACGUUUGCAUUCCUGAGCAGCACCAGGUGGCAAUGGCUUCGGUACGGGGUCCUAUGCAACGAGAGGUGGGACAAGCUCCGGCGUGCGGUCGUGUGGCUUCACCAUCUCGUCAAGCAAGGUGAUAGCAGGUACAAGUCAAGAAGGUGGUCCUACACCAUCGGGCAGUACAACUUGCUGCACUUCUGCACACGCCCCGCUGACACGCCAUUCACCAGCCCCCUGCUCGGGAGGCUAGCCAGGGCGCUGGCACUCGACGAGUGGUGGAACAGGAGGCACUACUCGGCGACCGUCGAGAUGUCUGGUGAGAUCAAGCUUCGCAUCGCUCUGUACAUGAGGCGGUUGUACACCGGAGGGAAGUUCAACUCAGGUAUGCUAAGGAAGAAGUGGGGUGAAGAACCGCUGGUACGCCGUGGGCUUUACAGCGGCGUCCUCAUGGACUCCCUCGGUGUCGAGUUCCAGGAGGGGAUCAUCAUCUGGCACAUUGCCACCGAGGUCUUCCUCACCAAGAGCGAGAAAGCCAAGGCCGUGGACGCCGCGCCUAGUGUGCAUGCCAUUAGGGUCAUGUCCGACUACUUGAUGUUCCUUCUGGUGCAACGUCCCUACAUGUUGCCGGGCCAGCCCCAAAAGAGGUUGUACCAACGGACCUGCGAAAGGCUGGUCACCAAGCGAUCGGUUGAUCCUAGGUACCCAAGCCGUGCACGCGUCGUCAAGGAUCUGUUCCGGAUGCGUGAUGCCCCACACUCCAGCAUUUCUAGGGUCGCCGAGAGAGAGGAGCUCGCCAAUAACUUGUACGACGAAUAUGAGAACCAGGAGUUCAGCCACCUUGCUCCUCGUCUCACGCACAUGGCUCGACUCGCCAAGGAGCUGCUGGAGAAGGAGAAGGAUGGCGCGACCGACUCCUUGGGGCUUGUCCUUGACGUGUGGAUGGACAUUCUCGUCUACGCGAGCAACAAGUGCAGCAGGGAGUCCCAUGCCCAGAAGCUCAACAGUGGAGGCGAGUUGACGACCAUCUUGUGGCUUAUGGCAGAAUACAUCUACCAAGCAUCGAUUGCCCAAAAAGAUGAUGUACUAUAA
Molecule: ribosomal RNA, 2040 nt
Filed under: Triticum aestivum (bread wheat)
Lineage: Eukaryota; Viridiplantae; Streptophyta; Magnoliopsida; Poales; Poaceae
Description: partial small subunit ribosomal RNA
Source: RNAcentral